GAGGGUAUAGCUUAGUUGAAGAGCGCGUGCUUAGCAUGCACAGAGUCCUGGGUUCAAUCCCCAGUGUUUCCA
RNAcentral lists this transfer RNA (72 nucleotides) under Camelus ferus (Wild Bactrian camel). It matches the Rfam family "tRNA". From Rfam's summary of the family: Transfer RNA (tRNA) molecules are approximately 80 nucleotides in length. Their secondary structure includes four short double-helical elements and three loops (D, anti-codon, and T loops). The record is from Rfam by way of RNAcentral. Lineage: Eukaryota; Metazoa; Chordata; Mammalia; Artiodactyla; Camelidae.